GCUCCGACUCUGGAAUGUACAUCGUCGACGUGGCUUGGAUUUAGAAGUUGGAGAAAUCACUUUUGGCACCUCUUGGCAUCCUUGCUCCUCUGAUGAUGGAACCUCUGGUUUCUUCACCCCCCCACCAUAAACACAGUUUCGGUCCCAGGAUGGGAAGAUGAAGGAAGACAAAAACAGGAAGUGAAGGAUGUGCAUCCUGCAGAACGAGAUGAACUGAAAUCAAAAGGGCAGGACUCACCUACACCCAGGAGAGUGCUGGGCCUUUGAAGGUUCUCAGGGACAUUUAGUCAUCUCCCGGUUCCACAGAGGUGCUAUCAGUCACGUCACCUUGGGACACAUUCCUAAAAUGUUGUCCCCGACUGGUAACACCUGGAGUGCUCCCAAGGAGUUUUCUGUUUAUGUGGCUCUUCACAGAGGAGAGCCCACAGCUCCAGGUUUGGAUGCAGCUUCCCAGAAUCUCCCAGUGAUUUGUUUCCUCCUCCUGACAUCGUUUUCUUCA
Long non-coding RNA from Gambusia affinis (western mosquitofish), 499 nucleotides. RefSeq lists it as uncharacterized. Lineage: Eukaryota; Metazoa; Chordata; Actinopteri; Cyprinodontiformes; Poeciliidae. The record is from RefSeq and is a predicted model, not a curated record. The transcript has 5 exons.